AUUGAACGCUGGCGGCAUGCCUUACACAUGCAAGUCGAACGGCAGCACGGGAGCAAUCCUGGUGGCGAGUGGCGAACGGGUGAGUAACAUAUCGGAACAUACCCUAGAGUGGGGGAUAACGUAGCGAAAGUUACGCUAAUACCGCAUACGAUCUAAGGAUGAAAGUGGGGGAUCUUCGGACCUCAUGCUCAUGGAGUGGCCGAUAUCUGAUUAGCUAGUUGGUGAGGUAAAGGCUCACCAAGGCGACGAUCAGUAGCUGGUUUGAGAGAACGACCAGCCACACUGGAACUGAGACACGGUCCAGACUCCUACGGGAGGCAGCAGUGGGGAAUUUUGGACAAUGGGGGCAACCCUGAUCCAGCAAUGCCGCGUGAGUGAAGAAGGCCU
RNAcentral lists this ribosomal RNA (387 nucleotides) under uncultured bacterium. RNAcentral's name for it is "bacterial SSU rRNA". It matches the Rfam family "Bacterial small subunit ribosomal RNA", at positions 30 to 417 of the family's 1533-position model. The record is from RNAcentral.